This is a non-coding RNA of Tinamus guttatus (white-throated tinamou), 242 nucleotides long. NCBI's taxonomy places the organism in Eukaryota, Metazoa, Chordata, Aves, Tinamiformes, Tinamidae. The record is from RefSeq and is a predicted model, not a curated record.
AGCUGCAAAAGAAUUGCCUUCUUUCACUGUGCAGUGACAGAAUCCUUCAGGAUGUUCCAUUUAACAGGUUUGAAGCAGCCAAACUUGUUAUGCAGUGGCUAUGUAAUCAUGAAGAUCAAAACAUGCAAAGGAUGGCUGUAGCCAUAAUUUCUAUUCUUGCUGCAAAGCUUUCAACAGAGCAAACGGCUCAACUUGGAGCAGAGCUUUUCAUUGUUAGGGUAAGUCGAAUACCAUCUUGACAG